AAAUUGAAGAGUUUGAUCAUGGCUCAGAUUGAACGCUGGCGGCAGGCCUAACACAUGCAAGUCGAACGGUAACAGGAAGCAGCUUGCUGCUUCGCUGACGAGUGGCGGACGGGUGAGUAAUGUCUGGGAAACUGCCUGAUGGAGGGGGAUAACUACUGGAAACGGUGGCUAAUACCGCAUAACGUCGCAAGACCAAAGAGGGGGACCUUCGGGCCUCUUGCCAUCAGAUGUGCCCAGAUGGGAUUAGCUAGUUGGUGAGGUAACGGCUCACCAAGGCGACGAUCCCUAGCUGGUCUGAGAGGAUGAGCAGCCACACUGGAACUGAGACACGGUCCAGACUCCUACGGGAGGCAGCAGUGGGGAAUAUUGCACAAUGGGCGCAAGCCUGAUGCAGCCAUGCCGCGUGUAUGAAGAAGGCCUUCGGGUUGUAAAGUACUUUCAGCGGGGAGGAAGGUGUUGUGGUUAAUAACC
RNAcentral lists this ribosomal RNA (471 nucleotides) under Salmonella enterica. RNAcentral's name for it is "bacterial SSU rRNA". It matches the Rfam family "Bacterial small subunit ribosomal RNA", at positions 1 to 468 of the family's 1533-position model. The record is from RNAcentral. Lineage: Bacteria; Pseudomonadati; Pseudomonadota; Gammaproteobacteria; Enterobacterales; Enterobacteriaceae.